This 117-nucleotide ribosomal RNA is filed under the name Moraxellaceae bacterium. Its description in RNAcentral is "partial 16S ribosomal RNA". It matches the Rfam family "Bacterial small subunit ribosomal RNA", at positions 1418 to 1533 of the family's 1533-position model. RNAcentral also lists the same sequence under 1 other name. Lineage: Bacteria; Pseudomonadati; Pseudomonadota; Gammaproteobacteria; Moraxellales; Moraxellaceae. The record is from RNAcentral.
UACCUAAAGUCGGUAACCGCAAGGAGCCGCCUAGGGUAAAACUAGUAACUGGGGCUAAGUCGUAACAAGGUAGCCGUAUCGGAAGGUGCGGCUGGAAUACCUCCUUUUUAGAGCUUA